Molecule: microRNA, 19 nt
Filed under: Corchorus capsularis
Lineage: Eukaryota; Viridiplantae; Streptophyta; Magnoliopsida; Malvales; Malvaceae
Description: sRNA CCACVL1_29912
Source: RNAcentral
CUUCUUUAAAAAUAAUAUU